GAUGAACGCUAGCGGCAGGCUUAAUACAUGCAAGUCGAGGGGCAGCAUGAUUGUAGCAAUACAAUUGAUGGCGACCGGCAAACGGGUGCGGAACACGUACACAACCUUCCAAUAAGUGGGGAAUAGCCCAGAGAAAUUUGGAUUAAUACCCCGUAACAUAACGAUGUGGCAUCACAUUGUUAUUAUAGGUUUUUCGCUUAUUGAUGGGUGUGCGGCUGAUUAGAUAGUUGGCGGGGUAACGGCCCACCAAGUCUACGAUCAGUAGCUGAUGUGAGAGCAUGAUCAGCCACACGGGCACUGAGACACGGGCCCGACUCCUACGGGAGGCAGCAGUAAGGAAUAUUGGACAAUGGACGCAAGUCUGAUCCAGCCAUGCCGCGUGAAGGAUUAAGGUCCUCUGGAUUGUAAACUUCUUUUAUAAGGGACGAAAAAAGGCUUUUCUAAGUCGUCUGACGGUACCUUAUGAAUAAGCACCGGCUAACUCCGUGCCAGCCGCCGCAGUAA
This 504-nucleotide ribosomal RNA is filed under the name uncultured bacterium. RNAcentral's name for it is "partial 16S ribosomal RNA". It matches the Rfam family "Bacterial small subunit ribosomal RNA", at positions 28 to 523 of the family's 1533-position model. The record is from RNAcentral.